GUGAGGAAUAUUGGUCAAUGGGCGAGAGCCUGAACCAGCCAAGUCGCGUGAAGGAAGAAGGAUCUAUGGUUCGUAAACUUCUUUUGCAGGGGAAUAAAGUGCAGGACGUGUCCUGUUUUGUAUGUACCCUGAGAAUAAGAAUCGGCUAACUCCGUGCCAGCAGCCGCGGUAAUACGGAGGAUCCGAGCGUUAUCCGGAUUUAUUGGGUUUAAAGGGUGCGUAGGUGGUUUGAUAAGUCAGCGGUGAAAGUUUGCAGCUUAACUGUAAAAAUGCCGUUGAAACUGUCGGACUUGAGUGUAAAUGAGGUAGGCGGAAUGCGUGGUGUAGCGGUGAAAUGCAUAGAUAUCACGCAGAACUCCGAUUGCGAAGGCAGCUUACUAAGCUACAACUGACACUGAAGCACGAAAGCGUGGGGAUCAAACAGGAUUAGAAACCCCAGUAGUCC
Molecule: ribosomal RNA, 445 nt
Filed under: uncultured bacterium
Lineage: Bacteria
Description: partial 16S ribosomal RNA
Rfam family: Bacterial small subunit ribosomal RNA
Source: RNAcentral